GUUCUUGAGGUGUAACAUGCACAUUAGGUUUUCAUCCUGAAAGUAUAAAGUAGAUUUAUCUAGAACA
This 67-nucleotide transfer RNA is filed under the name Conus genuanus. RNAcentral describes it as "tRNA-Glu". Lineage: Eukaryota; Metazoa; Mollusca; Gastropoda; Neogastropoda; Conidae. The record is from RNAcentral.